This is a long non-coding RNA of Oncorhynchus tshawytscha (Chinook salmon), 479 nucleotides long. The record is from Ensembl. NCBI's taxonomy places the organism in Eukaryota, Metazoa, Chordata, Actinopteri, Salmoniformes, Salmonidae.
GGUGAAACCAGUGUGUGUGACCUCCUAGGCUGUAAACUCAGAAUGUUUUCCCUGUACUUCCCACGCUGCCCACAUGGGGAAUGUAGAAAACAAGCUGUGCCAUUACCCACCUCUGUACUGGCUUCUCCUGACACUUCUGGGAGCCCAUGUGCCUUGGUGAGGGAAGAGAUGGUCUUAGCCUGGGGGAGCAGUAGAGAUGGCCUGGCAGCCUGUCAAUAUAUGGAGACAAAUGACAACAGAAGAAUAGGUUAAGGUAUGACGCACCUGGGUGAAAGUUGUGUUAAAACCUCUCUGGUACAGAGCAUCCCACCUCGACAAUAGCCAGUGAAAUUGCAGAGUGCCAAAUUCAACAUACAAGUAUUAUACACCGUUUUAAAGAUACACUUCUUGUAAAUCCAACCACAGUGUCCGAUUUCAAAAAGGCUUUACUGCGAAUGCACACCAUGCGAUUAUGUUAGGUCAGCACCUAGUCACAGAAA